UUACGUUUACGGCACGUUUGACGAUGAACAGACAUCGACUUCGGUGUAGAAGAGGUGACAUCCAAAGGUGGUGGUGGUGUUGGUAGUGCGGCUGUUCAGAACUCCUUUCAGCCCUCCACAGCCGCAGUUGAACGCGAUCCGCAGUCUUCGACGGUCGUCCGUUCGUCCGUUGCGGUUUUCCGAUCUCGCAAUUUGUCGCGAAUUUUCGUUAAUCUUGAUCGAUAUGUCACAGAUAUAGUUACCCUAAUCAAUAACAGAUUAUAUCCCGAAGACGCGCUUUUCCAAAUAUUGAUAUAAAUGCGAGAUAAAAUGGAAUGAGAAAAAAAUUCUAUUUUGUUUUGAUACAGUUCAAAAUAAUUCUUUGAUUUUAUUGGUGCACAUUUAAAUUUUUCAAAGUUCGUGAAGUGAGGAAUGUUUCGAAGCAGUACGAUCAAAGCGAUUGGAUAUUUCAUUACUGGAAGUCGUACACCGUGAAAUGUUGGAAUUCAGAUCACGUGGUUUCUGAUUAAACGCAUCGUUUCCCGGUAUGUAAACAAACUGUAGAAAAUGAUAAUAAAUUAACACUACG
This is a long non-coding RNA of Formica exsecta, 568 nucleotides long. RefSeq lists it as uncharacterized. NCBI's taxonomy places the organism in Eukaryota, Metazoa, Arthropoda, Insecta, Hymenoptera, Formicidae. The record is from RefSeq and is a predicted model, not a curated record. The transcript is spliced from 3 exons.